AGGAGAUCAGAAGGGAACACUCUGGAGGUGGAGACUUUGUGAAUUAGGAAGGAUGGGGUAGUGGGCAGAGACUCAUGUUUCUCAGAAGCAGAGCACCCUGCCUGCCCUUGUCCCUGUCUGAAGACAGUACUCAUGACCUGCCAGCUAUUAGCCUCAGUGCAUGCAGUUCAUAACGAGAGAGAAAUGUAACAGAAAAGAUACCUAAGAAGAUAAUUCACCCAGAUGAUGUUCUUCUCAUUCGCAUUCUUCGCAUUAAUAGCUAUGGUGGCACUAGACUGUAUCCA
RNAcentral lists this long non-coding RNA (284 nucleotides) under Mus caroli (Ryukyu mouse). RNAcentral describes it as "lncRNA (MGP_CAROLIEiJ_G0002776.1)". The record is from RNAcentral. Lineage: Eukaryota; Metazoa; Chordata; Mammalia; Rodentia; Muridae.